This is a long non-coding RNA of Trichechus manatus latirostris (Florida manatee), 3692 nucleotides long. RefSeq lists it as uncharacterized. NCBI's taxonomy places the organism in Eukaryota, Metazoa, Chordata, Mammalia, Sirenia, Trichechidae. The record is from RefSeq and is a predicted model, not a curated record. The transcript has 2 exons.
GCCUAUGUCAGGAAAAAGAGUAAUAAUUACCUAACUGUAACAUUUUGUAGGUACCAAUCAGUGUGUGCUCCUUUCUCCACACAUUAGCCCAGGCGUUCUCUGUGAAGAGAGAGGGAAGAGCCUGGAGUCUUGGCCAACCACUUUUAUAGGUCAAGCCUUUAAGCCUCAGUUUUUCAUUUGCCCUAUAUGGCAUUUCUUAGGAUUGUUUUAAAUCCAAUGAGAAACCAUGAAGCACUCUAUAAAUGCAAAGUAGUGUCCUCUGUUUAUUCAGGGAACAGUACAGGAAUGUGUGUGUACAUUCAAUUAACUUCUUCACUGACUGACUCUUCAGCAAACAGGCUACCAAAGGAUACUUCUGUCCCAGGCAGAAGACACACCAGGCCUUGUUCAUCCUGUGUGCUGUCUCUGUGAGCACAUACUGUGACUCUGAGAGAAGCAAGACUUGUUGCCACUCACUGUUAGAAACUUCCUAUUGGGAAACUAAAUCACCUCUUAGGGUCACAAAACAAUUUCAAAAUGUUCCUAGCAGCUGCUCUCAAGGGGGCUACUGAAGCAUAAUACAAAUUCAAAUUCAAUACAUCUAAGCUGGAACCAUGACACAGCCCAAAGACCAUUUCAGGAGUAAACGGACCCAGGUCCAAGGUUCUAUUCCUGUCACUUGCCAGCCAUAUGACUUGGGGUAAAUCCCUUAAUUCUUCUGAGUCUCACUUCUUCCAUUUGUCAAAAGCAAAUAACAGUAUUUAUACCUCACAACACUGUGAGGUUGAAAUGAAAUCAUGUAACAAGACCAGGCCCAGGAGAGUAACCUUUUCUACAAAAACACACUGGGUACUUCAAACCAGGUGAUGGAGCCCACGGCAAAAUAAGGAGCAUGCUGCCUACAUCCAGACUUUUUACUAAAAAAAAAAAAGAGUUGAACAGAACAGUGUGCUUAGCAAUGUAGAUGAUUUACAUGAUGAUGCAAACUUCUUAUCACCGAAACCCAAACCUGUUGCCAUCAAGUCAGUUCUGACUCAUAGUGACCCUACAGGGCAGAGCAGAACUGUCCCUAGGGUUUUCAAUUAUGUAAGCAGACUGGUCUUUCUCUGGCAGAGCAGCUGGCUGGUUCGAAUCGCUGACCUUUCAGUUAGCAGCUGAGCAUCUGGCCACUGUGCCACCAGGGCUUCUAUCUCAUCACAGACAGGUACAAACAGUUUGCAGAGCUGCAGCUAGUCCAAUGACCAGAUUUUGAGUAGCUCGAAUCAAGUCACUAAAAAAUUCUAAUAUCUGAAUGAAGGCGUAACUGUUGUUAGGUGCCAUUGAGUCAGCUCUGACUCAUAGCGACCCUACAGGACAGAGUAUAACUGCCCCAUAGGGUUUCCAAGGAGCAGCUGGUGGAUUUGAAGUGCUGACCUUUUGGUUAGAAGCCAAGCUCUUAACCAUUAAGCCACCAGGGCUCCAAAGGUGUUACUAAGUCCUAGAUAUUUAUUUGAAUCCUCAAGCUUCUGUACACUAUUUAACUAUGAGAGGUUCUUGCCUACAACUUAAAACAUAUGAAAGCUUAUUUUUUUUUUUUUAAAUCACAGGAAGAAGUUACAAUACCAAGGCUCCAAUCCCAGAUUUACAACUCACUAGCUGUGUGAUUUUGGAUAAGUCAUUUCACAUCUGAGACUUAGCUUCCUUAUCUGUAGGAAAAGGGGUUUAGAACAGUGAAAUAAAGGCAACUUUCCACUCUCCCAUCUUGGUUUCUCAUUUAUCGGCUGAGAUGAGUAGUGCCAUGCAGAAUCUGGGGUUUCCACCUGACAACAUUUCUGGCAAGCCAGCCAGGAGUCAUCUGCUUGGUUCUGGAGGUGGACUGGACAACAGGCUGGCCCUGACAUCUGGCACCACCAGGAGAUUUCUCCCGGAGACCUUGGAGCAGCCCUGGAAGCUGAUCUGCCUCAGACUCAACCAUGACUCUGCAGGAGACACGAAAUGUGCCCGCGUUAUUUGGUAAGUACCUAGGUAAGGCCUUAGAAGAGUCCCAAGAAGUGGGACGAAUUGACUGUUGAGGGUGUAAAAGGCUCUAGGUAUCUGUUAUUAGGUUGGUGUACUGAAUUAGGUUGUGGGAGUGUAUAAGUGUGUAUGUGUGUCCGGAGAAUGGAGAACACUCAAAGGAUCCCAGAAUGCAGCCCGCUAGGAUGAAUCCUUAAGAACUGGGAAUACUGCAGGUCAGACCCUAUGAAAAAGAAGAAGAUGAUCUUCUUUUCUAACACUGCAUGUCCUCAGUAUGAACUGGCAGAUGGGUAAAAGUGUCCAGCAAGUAGUCUCUAAAUUAUAACACAAUCUUCCAACUUGAUCUUUUCUGUAUUCAUGAGAGUAAAUGAGAUGAAAAGUAUUAUGGUUUCCACCUUUAUGACUGUAUUGGGAUAAGGGGUUGCAGAAGUAAUGUAAAAUUCUAGUCCAGAAAGGAGGCAGCAGAUCACACCACCAGUCCUCCCCUCUGAUCCUGAGGAAGAAUCCUUGUUGCCCUUGCCUGCCGCUCCGCCUCCCUUUAUUCUUCCGUUUUGGGAGAAGCGACUAUACAGGCAAUGAUUCCCACUGCUAAACCCUCUUAGUCCCCUCCCAAGCCCUUCUGCCCUGGCGUUGGGCUCGCCAACCCAUACAUGGAAUGGAACUGCCUUUGGGCACCCCAAUUGGUGACUAGGGAGAACAAAAGUAACAUGAGGGUGACCAAUUCUUGGGAGCACCAUAGCAGAGUCGAACCCAGGGGCAUGCACCCCCUCCAACAAGUCCCAGCAGGAGAUACCAGCAUGGUCUGGGUCCACCAACCUUUCUCAACAACUGAUCUUUAUAACUGGAAAAACCACUGCCCCAGGUAUUGGGAAGACCCUAAGAGAAUGCAGGAUCUUUCUGCAUCCAUCUUCCUCACUCAUAACCCUAAUUGGACAGACUGUCAGGUGCUGCUAGAUUGUGCUCCUGACCCCAGAAGAAAGGCACAUGGUCCUAGAAAAGGGUAGGGUUGAGGCCAACAGAUGUAGGCAGUAAAUGAGCCGGGGUAGAGACUUUCCCCAUGGGAGACCCUGGCUGGGAUCACCAGAUGGCCGAGGGAUGCACUGACCUUGCUUAUCACCGGGAGUGCCUUUUUAGAAGGGAUGAGGAAAGGGGUGCCAAAAAAACAAAAAAACAAAAAAUCUUAGCAAAAUAUAUGGGAUCAAACAAGAACCAACCAAAGAUCCCUCUAAGUUUCUGUAAAAAUUUAUGAGGCUUUUAGACAGCUUGCAGAUAUGGACCCUGAGAGUCCUGAAAAAGCUCACAUGGUGAAAAUGAUUUUUUUUAUCAGGCAGAGUGACCCGGACAUACAGAAAAAAACCUCCAGAAACAUGAGGGAGGUGUGGAGUUGGGGAUCUCAUGGCUUGAUAAGCUUGCCUACCAGAUAUAUUCCAACUGGGAUCAGGAACAGGAAAAGAAAAAAAUCACUGAUCAGAAGAGUCAGGUCGCAUUCCUGGCUGCCACCUUGCAGGGAAAUGACCCAUCUCCCAGCGGACCAAGAAGAGGAGGGCCCCUGAAGAAAGACGGAGGUGAGAGUCCCUAACCCCCAUUAAGCCAAGACCAGUGGGCCUGGUGCAGAGAGAGGACACUGGAAAAGAGAGUGCCCUAAAUUCCUACCCAGAGAUAAGAAAAAGCCUGGUGCUGCCCAGUGUGCCAUAAUGCUGACAGGUGAAGACCUGGAU